GGGUUCUGGUGUCCGUACAUGAUUAAAGGAUCAGAAGAGUUUGUAACAUCAUAGACAUUUACAAUAAUUGGAUGAUUUGCAGCAAGUUGCCCAAGUAGACACUCAACGAGAGACUCAACAUCGAAGGCUCCACCAAGAUACCCUGCAGUGGCUUCAACCCGUUCAUGCUCCGUCGGGUUUUCCGGAAGCUUGGAUCUGUAAACAGGGAAUGUCAAAACAACACCAAGGUGAUGAGAACCCAGAAGCCUGAAGGGGCUCGUAAGAACUGCCUUCCCACUGGCCCUAGCUCUUAAGAUGUUUUCGCGAUCCUCCUCUCCUGACAUCAUAUCAAGUGAUUCUAUGUAGGAAACCGUCUCUUGUGAAAAUAUAACUGGAGAAUACUCAUCUCUAAUUGGUGAAGGCUCUUUUUCCAUUGUUUUAAUAGUCCAUCCAUGUUCUCUCUCAAAUUCUUCCCUUUCUGAGUUUAAAACUCUCUCUGCAUAUGCCACCCCACUUAAUAGUGGCCUCUCAAAGGCAGUUCUAGCAGUGUACUCAGCAAAAGUACUCUGAUCAAUUGCUGAUGGAUUCUUCUCAUAAUGGAAAGUUGAUACAAGUAUAGCAAGGGCAUGUACAUGAUUCACACUAACACUGAAUUGAUCUUGUAACAUCCUUGCCCUUUGAUCACACAUAC
This 670-nucleotide unclassified non-coding RNA is filed under the name Hevea brasiliensis (rubber tree). Lineage: Eukaryota; Viridiplantae; Streptophyta; Magnoliopsida; Malpighiales; Euphorbiaceae. The record is from RNAcentral.